Armigeres subalbatus is the source of this 360-nucleotide long non-coding RNA. RefSeq lists it as uncharacterized. The record is from RefSeq and is a predicted model, not a curated record. Lineage: Eukaryota; Metazoa; Arthropoda; Insecta; Diptera; Culicidae. The transcript is spliced from 3 exons.
UUUGCAUCGCUUUAUUCUAGCAAACAAAAAAAUCGUGCUGAGGAAGAGCUGACCUAUUGACUGAACUAAAAAGCGAGUUAAAAGGUAAAGAUGCUGAAAUUUACCGCGCACCGGAGACACACCGGAGUUUUCUUCAUGAGCAAAAAUGAUCCUUUCCAUAAUGCAUUAACAUAAUCAUUCCUGAAUAAAAAUCAUAUGUGCUGCAAAUCUUCAGUUGCUUCCAUCGCUCUACCAGGAGAGAUUAUUUUCGUAUCUGGACGGAGUCCGUCGGAGUCCGCAUGAAUACCUUUUCCCAAUCCACAGGACGAAUGUAAAAGUUGUUUUCAAGAAUAAUUAAUUUAUGUUCAAAUAAAUGUUGUU